Molecule: ribosomal RNA, 301 nt
Filed under: uncultured bacterium
Lineage: Bacteria
Description: partial 16S ribosomal RNA
Rfam family: Bacterial small subunit ribosomal RNA
Source: RNAcentral
CAGUCGCCGCGGGAAAACGUAGGUGGCAAGCGUUGUCCGGAAUUAUUGGGCGUAAAGGGCUCGCAGGCGGUUUCUUAAGUCUGAUGUGAAAGCCCCCGGCUCAACCGGGGAGGGUCAUUGGAAACUGGGAAACUUGAGUGCAGAAGAGGAGAGUGGAAUUCCACGUGUAGCGGUGAAAUGCGUAGAGAUGUGGAGGAACACCAGUGGCGAAGGCGACUCUCUGGUCUGUAACUGACGCUGAGGAGCGAAAGCGAGGGGAGCGAACAGGAUUAGAUACCCCCGUAGUCCCUGUCUCUUAUAC